Molecule: ribosomal RNA, 2250 nt
Filed under: Salmonella enterica subsp. enterica serovar Virchow
Lineage: Bacteria; Pseudomonadati; Pseudomonadota; Gammaproteobacteria; Enterobacterales; Enterobacteriaceae
Description: partial 23S ribosomal RNA
Rfam family: Bacterial large subunit ribosomal RNA
Source: RNAcentral
AGACCCGAAACCCGGUGAUCUAGCCAUGGGCAGGUUGAAGGUUGGGUAACACUAACUGGAGGACCGAACCGACUAAUGUUGAAAAAUUAGCGGAUGACCUGUGGCUGGGGGUGAAAGGCCAAUCAAACCGGGAGAUAGCUGGUUCUCCCCGAAAGCUAUUUAGGUAGCGCCUCGUGAAUUCAUCUCCGGGGGUAGAGCACUGUUUCGGCUAGGGGGCCAUCCCGGCUUACCAACCCGAUGCAAACUGCGAAUACCGGAGAAUGUUAUCACGGGAGACACACGGCGGGUGCUAACGUCCGUCGUGAAGAGGGAAACAACCCAGACCGCCAGCUAAGGUCCCAAAGUCAUGGUUAAGUGGGAAACGAUGUGGGAAGGCCCAGACAGCCAGGAUGUUGGCUUAGAAGCAGCCAUCAUUUAAAGAAAGCGUAAUAGCUCACUGGUCGAGUCGGCCUGCGCGGAAGAUGUAACGGGGCUAAACCAUGCACCGAAGCUGCGGCAGCGACACUGUGUGUUGUUGGGUAGGGGAGCGUUCUGUAAGCCUGUGAAGGUGGCCUGUGAGGGUUGCUGGAGGUAUCAGAAGUGCGAAUGCUGACAUAAGUAACGAUAAAGCGGGUGAAAAGCCCGCUCGCCGGAAGACCAAGGGUUCCUGUCCAACGUUAAUCGGGGCAGGGUGAGUCGACCCCUAAGGCGAGGCCGAAAGGCGUAGUCGAUGGGAAACGGGUUAAUAUUCCCGUACUUGGUGUUACUGCGAAGGGGGGACGGAGAAGGCUAUGUUGGCCGGGCGACGGUUGUCCCGGUUUAAGCGUGUAGGUGUGUGUUCCAGGUAAAUCCGGUUCACUUUAACACUGAGGCGUGACGACGAGGCACUACGGUGCUGAAGCAACAAAUGCCCUGCUUCCAGGAAAAGCCUCUAAGCAUCAGGUAACAUCAAAUCGUACCCCAAACCGACACAGGUGGUCAGGUAGAGAAUACCAAGGCGCUUGAGAGAACUCGGGUGAAGGAACUAGGCAAAAUGGUGCCGUAACUUCGGGAGAAGGCACGCUGACACGUAGGUGAAGUGAUUUACUCACGGAGCUGAAGUCAGUCGAAGAUACCAGCUGGCUGCAACUGUUUAUUAAAAACACAGCACUGUGCAAACACGAAAGUGGACGUAUACGGUGUGACGCCUGCCCGGUGCCGGAAGGUUAAUUGAUGGGGUCAGCGCAAGCGAAGCUCCUGAUCGAAGCCCCGGUAAACGGCGGCCGUAACUAUAACGGUCCUAAGGUAGCGAAAUUCCUUGUCGGGUAAGUUCCGACCUGCACGAAUGGCGUAAUGAUGGCCAGGCUGUCUCCACCCGAGACUCAGUGAAAUUGAACUCGCUGUGAAGAUGCAGUGUACCCGCGGCAAGACGGAAAGACCCCGUGAACCUUUACUAUAGCUUGACACUGAACAUUGAGCCUUGAUGUGUAGGAUAGGUGGGAGGCUUUGAAGUGUGGACGCCAGUCUGCAUGGAGCCGACCUUGAAAUACCACCCUUUAAUGUUUGAUGUUCUAACGUGGACCCGUAAUCCGGGUUGCGGACAGUGUCUGGUGGGUAGUUUGACUGGGGCGGUCUCCUCCUAAAGAGUAACGGAGGAGCACGAAGGUUGGCUAAUCCUGGUCGGACAUCAGGAGGUUAGUGCAAUGGCAUAAGCCAGCUUGACUGCGAGCGUGACGGCGCGAGCAGGUGCGAAAGCAGGUCAUAGUGAUCCGGUGGUUCUGAAUGGAAGGGCCAUCGCUCAACGGAUAAAAGGUACUCCGGGGAUAACAGGCUGAUACCGCCCAAGAGUUCAUAUCGACGGCGGUGUUUGGCACCUCGAUGUCGGCUCAUCACAUCCUGGGGCUGAAGUAGGUCCCAAGGGUAUGGCUGUUCGCCAUUUAAAGUGGUACGCGAGCUGGGUUUAGAACGUCGUGAGACAGUUCGGUCCCUAUCUGCCGUGGGCGCUGGAGAACUGAGGGGGGCUGCUCCUAGUACGAGAGGACCGGAGUGGACGCAUCACUGGUGUUCGGGUUGUCAUGCCAAUGGCACUGCCCGGUAGCUAAAUGCGGAAGAGAUAAGUGCUGAAAGCAUCUAAGCACGAAACUUGCCCCGAGAUGAGUUCUCCCUGAGACUUUAAGUCUCCUGAAGGAACGUUGAAGACGACGACGUUGAUAGGCCGGGUGUGUAAGCGCAGCGAUGCGUUGAGCUAACCGGUACUAAUGAACCGUGAGGCUUAACCUUACAACGCCGAAG